AUUGAACGCUGGCGGCAGGCCUAACACAUGCGAGUCGAACGGUAACAGGAAGCAGCUUGCUGCUUUGCUGACGAGUGGCGGACGGGUGAGUAAUGUCUGGGAAACUGCCUGAUGGAGGGGGAUAACUACUGGAAACGGUAGCUAAUACCGCAUAACGUCGCAAGACCAAAGAGGGGGACCUUAGGGCCUCUUGCCAUCGGAUGUGCCCAGAUGGGAUUAGCUAGUAGGUGGGGUAACGGCUCACCUAGGCGACGAUCCCUAGCUGGUCUGAGAGGAUGACCAGCCACACUGGAACUGAGACACGGUCCAGACUCCUACGGGAGGCAGCAGUGGGGAAUAUUGCACAAUGGGCGCAAGCCUGAUGCAGCCAUGCCGCGUGUAUGAAGAAGGCCUUCGGGUUGUAAAGUACUUUCAGCGGGGAGGAAGGGAGUAAAGUUAAUACCUUUGCUCAUUGACGUUACCCGCAGAAGAAGCACCGGCUAACUCCGUG
RNAcentral lists this ribosomal RNA (490 nucleotides) under uncultured bacterium. RNAcentral describes it as "partial 16S ribosomal RNA". It matches the Rfam family "Bacterial small subunit ribosomal RNA", at positions 30 to 507 of the family's 1533-position model. The record is from RNAcentral.